GUGUCAGCCGCCGCGGUAAUACCAGCACCCCGAGUGGUCGGGAUGAUUAUUGGGCCUAAAGCAUCCGUAGCCGGUGUAACAAGUCCUCCGUUAAAUCCACCUGCUUAACAGGUGGGCUGCGGAGGAUACUGUUACACUAGGAGGCGGGAGAGGCGAGGGGUAUUCCACGGGUAGGGGUAAAAUCCUCUGAUCCGGGGAGGACCACCAGUGGCGAAGGCGCCUCGCCAGAGCGCGCGCGACGGUGAGGGAUGAAAGCUGGGGGAGCAAACCGGAUUAGAUACCCGGGUAGUCCCAGCCGUAAACGAUGUAGGCUCGGUGAUGGACUGGCCCCGAGCCAGUCCAGUGCCGCAGGGAAGCCGUUAAGCCUACCGCCUGGGGAGUACGGCCGCAAGGCUGAAACUCAAAUGAAUUGGCGGGG
RNAcentral lists this ribosomal RNA (418 nucleotides) under uncultured prokaryote. RNAcentral's name for it is "bacterial SSU rRNA". It matches the Rfam family "Archaeal small subunit ribosomal RNA", at positions 455 to 873 of the family's 1478-position model. The record is from RNAcentral.